Non-coding RNA from Sesamum indicum (sesame), 2853 nucleotides. The record is from RefSeq and is a predicted model, not a curated record. Lineage: Eukaryota; Viridiplantae; Streptophyta; Magnoliopsida; Lamiales; Pedaliaceae.
CAAUUAUGGGCUCCAUCCCCACGCGACUAUGGCUCACACUGGCAAAAACUUGAGGGAAACGUCGUUCGUUAACGACGAGGAAAGGAGGAACAAGAAACCUCCAAAUUAUCGAACGAUCAAAAGGUCUAAAUUUGAGGGGAAAAAAUCAAAAUUCUGACAAAGAAAACAAUCCCAAGUUUUUGCUCUGAAGUUUACUUCUUUCAUAUCUCCAGAAUAUGAAAUCUGCUUUGAAAAUGGCGUCUUCACCAAUUUGCUCACUGGUUUCCCCGCCCCAUUAUCUACCGCGCAGAAACGCGACGUUUCUUCCCAAAAUAGGUUAUGAAAAUCGCAAGAACGAAGUGGGGUCGGGCUCUUUUCGGUCAUCCUGUUCGACUGGGGUUGUGACAUGUGCAGUUGGGGAUGUGCACAGGAAAAGAAGUAGUCUUGAAUCUCUUUUUUGUUAUGAUAAGCCUAUUCCAGAAGAAAUAAUUGAGAAGCCCAUAGGGAUAUCCAUGGCCGAGAAAAACGUUGGAGAUAAUCCCCGCUGCCCAAGUUGUCAAGCAAAAGGAGCUACUCUUUGCACCACAUGUUCUGGAUCAGGCUUAUAUGUGGACUCUAUCUUGGAGAGUCAAGGAAUCAUUGUCAAAGUGCGUUGUUUAGGUUGUGGGGGAACUGGGAACACCAUGUGUUCAGAAUGUGGUGGAAGGGGUCACAUUUGACUUGCCCGAAAUUCAACAUUCACUUCUUGUUACUCUAGUUGCAUCCUCAAUGUCAAAAGAUGCACAUUUCCGGCAAGAGUGUGAGAAGGUGCAAGGGAAAAUAAUUCAGUAAUUACCAUUUAUUGAAAUUGAAAAAACCUUUUGGCUCUAAAGCAGAAUUAAUUGCAAAAUCUGGACUAAGCAAAAGUUUUUGUAUAUUAAUAGACUCGUUGAAAGUGAUGAAAUUAGUCGGUGGACUUUUCCUCUAGACGACGAUGACUGGAAAGAAAAGAGACCACAAUGGGAUUAUAUGCAUUACAGUUUUACAUACAUGUAUGUAAAAGAUAUUAAAAAUGUGUCUCUAUAACAUGGAUUCUACAUGAGCCGUACGAACCAACUCUUGUGAAUUUUGUACUUGUGAUCUUUCUAUCUCCCGGAUAUAAUCUGGAAUAGUACUGUCAAAUUGCUGGCUCUGGGGGUUUUCUGCAUAUGCAACAUAAUACGCUGCAAUGCUGGCUUGUACCCAUGCCAUGGCGACCCUACUCUACAAUUUGUACAUCAAGUAAGAAGUUAGUUUGCAUUUCUUACUAAUAUAAAUGCUUCUUUUACCCGUAAGGCUUGAAUCCUUACCAUAAAAUAUCCGAUUAAGAAUGUGUACAAGGACACUUCUGUUGCAUAGGUCUUGUGGAUCAGAAGUGCCCAACUACCACCAACUAGUGCACAUAUGGAUCCUGCUGCCACCCCGGAGAGGAAGCAGAAUGAACUGGUGAGGUCAGAGUUUAUCAGCUUUUCCAUUCCAAGUCUUCUGAACAUCUCCCAUGUAUCCGUUGAUGCUCGCACAAUCCCUUUGCUGUAAACCCCUACUUGCACAAAGCCCCAUCUAUUCCCAUAUGCUACAAGCUUUAAUGCAACUCCAGAACAGCAAUUUGCGGAGCACAUGAACUCAUCUGCGUCUCCAGAAACCAAAUUUACACCUCGAGCUGAACCCCGGAUGACACCAAGAACUGCUUCCUAGGAUGAGGAAUAUGAAUAGAGUAUCGAUCUCUGUUGCAGUGGCGGUGGCUCCCCCAAUGCCGGACAUCAAGGAAGCCAAAUAAACAGUGCAUAUGAUUAUUGAAAGAAGUACCAUGGCUUUCACUUUUGGAGGAUGAUGUGCUAUGGAAACUGUUACUAUCCUAUUUGCAUGCUGAAAUCUGGGACUAACCCAACAGGCGUACAGGGAUUGAAUCACAGAAGAAACCAGGGCAAUCACCGAUGCUGCUACACUCCCUGGAGUUUCUAUGGAGACAAGUAAGAUCCCAAAUGCACAGGUAAGGAGAGGGCUAAGCCAGAAUGUGGCCUUAACCAUUCUUAAAGGACUGAAACAUGUCAACUCUUGCCAUGCAAAUCCUAUGAUUCCUGCACAAGCCGUUGAAGAGAGGACUGGAACGUACCAUUUCUUUGGGUGGAAAUGAUGGGUGUGGGCAGCCGAUAAGACACCACGUACCGUGAGAACAAGUACCAGAACUGUGAUAACUAGAAAUUGUACAUAGAAAAGGUACUGAAACAGCUUGUUAACAAAGCUUCUAUCCGUCCUCAUCUCUACGUGGGUACCAUUUCUUUCCUGUAUCUGCAUUGAAAACCCUUAGUCAGAUGAUUGACACAUCAAGAAACAGAAGAGUAUGCAGAACUUAGCCGCAGGGAAACAAGAAAGUCGAGCAGCAAGGCAGACGGUGCCCGAUCCUCUGCCUCCACAGACAUCAAGAAACUAGAAUUGAGAUGACCUUUGGGGCAGGGCAGGCGGGGUGGGACGUUGACUUCACCUUGAUCAUCUCACCAUCUGUUCUGUCUUGGCACUAUAUUCAAUUCCUUGGCAUCCACGAUUCAGCAAGACUAGAGCUCUACUUUCAACUUGGAACCAAUUUUAAACCACGACUACAGAUCAUUGGAGGUCUUCUUGAAGACAUUAUUUUAAACGUGAUUCAUAGCUACAUGUGGUGUAGAUGUGUGCUACACGCUAUUGAUCUUGCCUCUAUAGAAGUUUGAAUAUGAUUGACCUGUGAGUAAAGUGAAUAACGGUAGCAAGCAUCCCCUCCUUUUUCCAGUCAAGAAUCCAAUUCAAAAUCAAAUAGGAUUCAGCUUUAAUUCGUACUUGAGUUUGAGGCUUUGAGCCGAAAAGAGGCCCAGAUUUCAGGGA